GAUCUUCUGCCCCGGGUGCGUCGCAGCCCCGGACCAAGGCGCCCGCCGGAGGACCAACCUAAAACUCUUAUUGUAUACCCCUCGCGGGUUUUUUUAUAAUCUGAGCCUUCUCGGCGCCUCUCGUAGGCGUUUCGAAAAUGAAUCAAAACUUUCAACAACGGAUCUCUUGGUUCUGGCAUCGAUGAAGAACGCAGCGAAAUGCGAUAAGUAAUGUGAAUUGCAGAAUUCAGUGAAUCAUCGAAUCUUUGAACGCACAUUGCGCCCGCCAGUAUUCUGGCGGGCAUGCCUGUCCGAGCGUCAUUUCAACCCUCGAACCCCUCCGGGGGGUCGGCGUUGGGGAUCGGCCUCCCUCACCGGGGGCCGUCUCCGAAAUACAGUGGCGGUCUCGCCGCAGCCUCUCCUGCGCAGUAGUUUGCACACUCGCAUCG
This 428-nucleotide unclassified non-coding RNA is filed under the name Trichoderma sp. TAMA 0185. RNAcentral's name for it is "partial contains 18S rRNA, ITS1, 5.8S rRNA, ITS2 and 28S RNA". The stretch from base 147 to 300 matches the Rfam family "5.8S ribosomal RNA". Lineage: Eukaryota; Fungi; Ascomycota; Sordariomycetes; Hypocreales; Hypocreaceae. The record is from RNAcentral.